UCUUUUUGUUAUAUAUUUAAAGUCAUACCUGCCCACUGAUUGUUUAAAUGGCCGCGGUAUUUUGACCGUGCUAAGGUAGCAUAAUCAUUAGUUUUUUUAUUGAAAGCUGGAAUGAAAGGUUGGAUGAAAAAAAAACUGUCUCUUUUUAAAUUUUAUAUAAUUUUAUUUUUUAGUUAAAAAGCUAAGAUAAUUUUAAAAGACGAGAAGACCCUGUAGAGUUUUAUAAGUAUUUUAUUAUUUUAAUUUUUAAUAUAAUAUUUAUUUGGUUGGGGUGAUUUAAAAAUUUAAUAAACUUUUUUUUUCUUUUUAUAUUUAUAAAUAAGUAUUUGAUCUAAUAAUUAUUGAUUAAAAGAAAAAAUUACCUUAGGGAUAACAGCGUAAUUUUAUUGGAGAGUUCAAAUCGAUAAUAAAGAUUGCGACCUCGAUGUUGGAUUAAAA
Molecule: ribosomal RNA, 438 nt
Filed under: Hoplasoma unicolor
Lineage: Eukaryota; Metazoa; Arthropoda; Insecta; Coleoptera; Chrysomelidae
Description: partial 16S ribosomal RNA
Source: RNAcentral